CAGUCGCCGCGGGAAUACAGAGGGUGCGAGCGUUAAUCGGAUUUACUGGGCGUAAAGCGUGCGUAGGCGGCUUCUUAAGUCGGAUGUGAAAUCCCUGAGCUUAACUUAGGAAUUGCAUUCGAUACUGGGAAGCUAGAGUAUGGGAGAGGAUGGUAGAAUUCCAGGUGUAGCGGUGAAAUGCGUAGAGAUCUGGAGGAAUACCGAUGGCGAAGGCAGCCAUCUGGCCUAAUACUGACGCUGAGGUACAAAAGCAUGGGGAGCAAACAGGAUUAGAGACCCCCGUAGUCCCUGUCUCUUAUAA
This 301-nucleotide ribosomal RNA is filed under the name uncultured bacterium. Its description in RNAcentral is "partial 16S ribosomal RNA". It matches the Rfam family "Bacterial small subunit ribosomal RNA", at positions 509 to 809 of the family's 1533-position model. The record is from RNAcentral.